This 231-nucleotide unclassified non-coding RNA is filed under the name rhizosphere metagenome. RNAcentral's name for it is "partial ribosomal RNA internal transcribed spacer region". The record is from RNAcentral.
GUAGGUGAACCUGCGGAAGGAUCAUUACCGAGUAAGGGUCUUCCAGGCCCGACCUCCAACCCUUUGUUUAACCAACCACGUUGCUUUGGCGGGCCCGCCCUCUGGGGCCGCCGGGGGCUUUACCGCCCCUGGCCCGUGCCCGUCGGUAGCCAUCUUAAAUUCUGAUAACUGUGCUGUCUGAGUAUAGAUAUAAAUCGUUAAAAACUUUCAACAACGGAUCUCUUGGUUCUG